UCCCCGAUACGCUAACUGGUAAGCGGACGCACUGUUAAUGCGUUGUAGGCCCGACAGGGUUAUGCAGGUUCGAGUCCUGCUUGGGGAGCCA
This 91-nucleotide transfer RNA is filed under the name Massilia violaceinigra. Its description in RNAcentral is "tRNA-Asn". It matches the Rfam family "tRNA". Rfam says of the family: Transfer RNA (tRNA) molecules are approximately 80 nucleotides in length. Their secondary structure includes four short double-helical elements and three loops (D, anti-codon, and T loops). Lineage: Bacteria; Pseudomonadati; Pseudomonadota; Betaproteobacteria; Burkholderiales; Oxalobacteraceae. The record is from RNAcentral. RNAcentral also lists the same sequence under 2 other names.